UAAAAGUCUACACUUUAGUAACCCUAAUUUUAUUAAGAGAAAAUUACACCAAAUCACCCAAAAACUGAAAAAUUUACGUUAGUGACUCAGGAUAUUUUUUUAAGCAAAAAUCUCUCCUUUUUAAGAGUCUGUUUGCAUGUAUACCCCAUUUUAAUUUUAAUUCUAUUUUACCCUUCCUUCCUCUUCUCCCACAUCCACAGAUCAGAAUCUUGGGAUUAUUGAGUUUUUUCUCCAUCGGUGCUUUUGCACUUCUCUCCAUUGGUCGGACCACCGGCAGUCGAAGGAUGCAGAGAUUAAGUAAGCGGAUUUAGAAGGAGCUGGGAGGAAUGUGGUCGAAAUUGGAUGAGAUUUGGUUUCCAUAAAUCAAGAAUUGAAUGAAGAAAAAAACAAUUGCUAGGAGUGAAGAUCCAUUUGCUGUUGAUUAUUAAAUGAUUUAAAAUUUCUUGUUUAUUGGUAGAGAGAUUUGAAAAUAAUUACAAUAGAUUUAAAGAUUUGUAUUCA
This is a long non-coding RNA of Mercurialis annua (annual mercury), 501 nucleotides long. RefSeq lists it as uncharacterized. The record is from RefSeq and is a predicted model, not a curated record. The transcript has 2 exons. Lineage: Eukaryota; Viridiplantae; Streptophyta; Magnoliopsida; Malpighiales; Euphorbiaceae.